RNAcentral lists this long non-coding RNA (580 nucleotides) under Ananas comosus (pineapple). RNAcentral's name for it is "long non-coding RNA (ACOM_LNC042586)". The record is from RNAcentral. Lineage: Eukaryota; Viridiplantae; Streptophyta; Magnoliopsida; Poales; Bromeliaceae.
AAAAUAGUUGGAAGUUAAAAAGUAUAAAUUAGGAUAAGUAAACUUUCACUAUAACAAAAGCGGUCUAUAGUGACAUUUUUAAAUGUAGGUACAUGUCAAAAAAGUGCUGCUAGCUAAAAUUACCGACACUUUUAAAAAGUGUUGCUAUAUGUGAGGUCGCUAGAUAUAUAGUGACAGUUAAAGAGUGUCGCUAUAACCUAAAAGAGUGCUGCUAUUUUACCAACACUUAUUUAAGAAUUUAGUAACCGCCAAAACUCUAUCUCGUUGGCUGCCGUGGCGGAGGAUGACGACAGGAAAGGCUCUUCGUCUAGAAUUUUAGUAGAUUGAGUGAAGAGAGAAGAAAAGAUGGUAAUUGUUUUUUUCUUUUUUUUUUUCUUUUCUGUUUAUAAUCGGGCCAAAUGGACUGGGUGUGGUGGGUUGAGUAGAGUAAUCUCUUAUUCUUGGUUGGAUUGGGCUUUAUAUUUAGGCAUUAGUAGAUAUUUUUUUUAAGUUUUAGUAUAAAUGGGACACUUACUCAAAAGUGUCCCAAACAUGUGUCCCUAUAACCUAAUUCUGUUGUAGUGUUUAGGGUUCCAUUUCA